GAUGAACGCUGGCGGCGUGCCUAAUACAUGCAAGUCGAGCGAACAGAUGAGGAGCUUGCUCCUCUGACGUUAGCAGCGGACGGGUGAGUAACACGUGGAUAACCUACCUAUAAGACUGGGAUAACUUCGGGAAACCGGAGCUAAUACCGGAUAAUAUAUUGAACCGCAUGGUUCAAUAGUGAAAGACGGUUUUGCUGUCACUUAUAGAUGGAUCCGCGCCGCAUUAGCUAGUUGGUAAGGUAACGGCUUACCAAGGCAACGAUGCGUAGCCGACCUGAGAGGGUGAUCGGCCACACUGGAACUGAGACACGGUCCAGACUCCUACGGGAGGCAGCAGUAGGGAAUCUUCCGCAAAGGGCGAAAGCCUGACGGAGCAACGCCGCGUGAGUGAUGAAGGUCUUCGGAUCGUAAAACUCUGUUAUUAGGGAAGAACAAAUGUGUAAGUAACUAUGCACGUCUUGACGGUACCUAAUCAGAAAGCCACGGCUAACUACGUG
Molecule: ribosomal RNA, 497 nt
Filed under: uncultured bacterium
Lineage: Bacteria
Description: partial 16S ribosomal RNA
Rfam family: Bacterial small subunit ribosomal RNA
Source: RNAcentral